GCGUAGGUGAUGGACAACAGGUUGAUAUUCCUGUACUACCGAUAACCGUUUGAGAGAAGGGAUGACACAGUAGGAUAAGCUAAGCACACUGUUGGUUAUGUGUGCCCAAGCAUUGAGGCAGUCAAAGCAGGCAAAUCCGCUUUGAUAAUGCUGGGAUGGGAUGGGGAGCGAAAUUUAGUAGCGAAGUAGCUGAUUUCACACUGUCAAGAAAAG
Molecule: ribosomal RNA, 213 nt
Filed under: Clostridioides difficile
Lineage: Bacteria; Bacillati; Bacillota; Clostridia; Peptostreptococcales; Peptostreptococcaceae
Description: partial 23S ribosomal RNA
Rfam family: Bacterial large subunit ribosomal RNA
Source: RNAcentral